This is a long non-coding RNA of Arachis stenosperma, 1113 nucleotides long. RefSeq lists it as uncharacterized. NCBI's taxonomy places the organism in Eukaryota, Viridiplantae, Streptophyta, Magnoliopsida, Fabales, Fabaceae. The record is from RefSeq and is a predicted model, not a curated record. The transcript has 3 exons.
UAUGUUUUGCAGAUGGGGUCUCUUUUUCUUCUUCUUCUUCACUACUGCGAUGAAAACUGGCACUAGCAUCAACUGUUAGGUCUGGUUCAAGACUACCCAUGUACGCAUGCAACUAUCAGAGCCUGGAUCGAGACUAUUUCGCACCCCUGUCCACUCCGCCUCUAAAAUUUGUGUUCUUCUCCUCUCUUGGUCAUCUACUUCGUGUGGUGUUCUUCGAAAAGGAAGUCAUGGAAGCUAUCACACAUACAUACACAGAGACAUAUACUUCACAUUUGAGAUAGAAAAUCAGAAAAGAAACAAAAAAAGAAAAGAAAAUUUUUGCGGAAGAUUAUGGCCUCAAAGGAAACCCAAGAUUUCUAGCCAUUUCUCAAGCCAUCAGAGUCGUUUCUCAGAUUUAUGUCCCAAUUAAGGAAGAAGGUGACCGCUGGUAUAUGGUUAUUAGCUUAUUGGAUGAAAAAUUAUAUCAGUUUGAUUCUAAUCUAAAUGAUGAUCAAGUUGAGCCAAGAUAAGAAAUUGUAAAAUCCUUGGUAAGAUGUCCAUAACCCAUUUCUUUAUACACAGACUAUAUGUAAAAUAAUACAUAAAUCUUAACAGAUUAGUCAAGAACAAAAUUUUCAGGCUAUAAGAUUAUCAGAUAUGGUAACUUUUGGGCAUUACCUAAAAGGUGACAUUCCUGAAAGAAAAGAUUUCAUGAAUUUUGAUGUGAAAAAGGUUAGGGGGUGCCAAUUGUCCUCAAAGGUACACAUAAUUGCAGUGAAUCUUUUAUUUACACCUUUAAUUAAAGUGAUCUUUUAUUGAUACUAACUAGUUAAUAUUGCCACUGAACUUUUAGUCGCGACUCUGGUGUUUGGGUUCUUCAAUGGUUGUCUAUGACAGAGAAGUUUAAUCCCACGGUGUCGGUAUUCUAAAUGAGCAAUAUAUUCGGACAUUCAUUGUGAUAGAUCUUUUGUUGGGAUGUUCAAUGACCAUAAUUCCACAAAUACGAGUUUUAGAAGAAGAAUAAUGAUUUUUAGGCUAGGCUUUAGAGUGAAUAGUAUGGAGAUCAACAUUUUUGCCUAUUUUGUUAUUAUUUGAAAAAUUUGUUGUAAUCCUCAAUUAUAAAUGAGAUUAGUG